This 467-nucleotide ribosomal RNA is filed under the name uncultured bacterium. RNAcentral describes it as "partial 16S ribosomal RNA". It matches the Rfam family "Bacterial small subunit ribosomal RNA", at positions 29 to 507 of the family's 1533-position model. The record is from RNAcentral.
ACGAACGCUGGCGGCGUGCUUAACACAUGCAAGUCGAACGGAAAGGCCCUGCUUUUGUGGGGUGCUCGAGUGGCGAACGGGUGAGUAACACGUGAGUAACCUGCCCUUGACUUUGGGAUAACUUCAGGAAACUGGGGCUAAUACCGGAUAGGAGCUCCUGCUGCAUGGUGGGGGUUGGAAAGUUUCGGCGGUUGGGGAUGGACUCGCGGCUUAUCAGCUUGUUGGUGGGGUAGUGGCUUACCAAGGCUUUGACGGGUAGCCGGCCUGAGAGGGUGACCGGCCACAUUGGGACUGAGAUACGGCCCAGACUGCUACGGGAGGCAGCAGUGGGGAAUAUUGCACAAUGGGCGGAAGCCUGAUGCAGCAACGCCGCGUGCGGGAUGACGGCCUUCGGGUUAUAAACCGCUUUCGCCUGUGACGAAGCGUGAGUGACGGUAAUGGGUAAAGAAGCACCGGCUAACUACGUG